RNAcentral lists this long non-coding RNA (217 nucleotides) under Elaeis guineensis (African oil palm). RNAcentral describes it as "long non-coding RNA (EGUI_LNC033696)". The record is from RNAcentral. Lineage: Eukaryota; Viridiplantae; Streptophyta; Magnoliopsida; Arecales; Arecaceae.
GGGCUCCAUCCUCGACCCCGACUGCUAGAGCCAGACUUCGCCCCUGACUUUGAUUGCAGGUGGACUUCGCCCGGGCUCCUACGGGAGCCAGGUCUCGUCUCCAGCUCCAGCUGUGGAAAAACUCCGCCCAGACUCCUAAGAGAGCCGGACCUCAUUCCCGACUCCGGCUGCAGGCGGACGUCGCUCGGACUCCUACGGGAGCUGGGCCCUGCCCGCG